This 305-nucleotide ribosomal RNA is filed under the name uncultured bacterium. Its description in RNAcentral is "bacterial SSU rRNA". It matches the Rfam family "Bacterial small subunit ribosomal RNA", at positions 334 to 637 of the family's 1533-position model. The record is from RNAcentral.
GGCUCCUACGGGGCGCAGCAGUGAGGAAUAUUGGUCAAUGGUCGGGAGACUGAACCAGCCAAGCCGCGUGAGGGAGGAAGGUACAGAGUAUCGUAAACUUCUUUAGUCAGGGAACAAAGGGAGCCACGCGUGGCGCUGUGAGUGUACCUGAAGAAUAAGCAUCGGCUAACUCCGUGCCAGCAGCCGCGGUAAUACGGAGGAUGCGAGCGUUAUCCGGAUUUAUUGGGUUUAAAGGGUGCGUAGGCGGUUUGUCAAGUCAGCGGUAAAAAUUCCGGGCUCAACCCGGUCCCGCCGUUGAAACUGGG